Long non-coding RNA from Pieris rapae (cabbage white), 350 nucleotides. RefSeq lists it as uncharacterized. The transcript has 4 exons. Lineage: Eukaryota; Metazoa; Arthropoda; Insecta; Lepidoptera; Pieridae. The record is from RefSeq and is a predicted model, not a curated record.
AUAAAAAAAUAUACAUACUUCGUUAUAAAUAUUGCGUUUUGAAAAUAAUUUUAUGAUUGAAUAACAAAAUUCAUAUCACAAUGAACGGAAAAAUUUUAUUCGUUACAUUUUUAGUACUAUCAUGCUUCUUUACAACAACAAUAGUUAGUUGUGAACCAAAUCCUAUACCAGAACCGGGUGGUGACGCAAUUAGUGUGAACCCAACGAACACAGCAAGUAACCGGAAUGAUCAAUCAACUCAAGGCAAACAGAAUCAGAAUCACAAGGACUAGCUUUAGUCAAUGAGUUUGAUGGUGGAUCAAUCUUCGUAAGAACCUCAUUCGACAAAAAUAUAUUGUUGAAAAAAUUAA